Molecule: non-coding RNA, 55 nt
Organism: Salmo salar (Atlantic salmon)
Lineage: Eukaryota; Metazoa; Chordata; Actinopteri; Salmoniformes; Salmonidae
Source: Rfam
AAUGCACCAAUUUGUAAGUCGCUCUGGAUAAGAGCGUCUACCUAAAUGACUUAAA